RNAcentral lists this unclassified non-coding RNA (200 nucleotides) under soil metagenome. Its description in RNAcentral is "partial contains internal transcribed spacer 2 and large subunit ribosomal RNA". The record is from RNAcentral.
UGUUCGAGCGUCAUUUAAACUCUCAAGCCUUGCUUGGUGUUGGGCGAGGUCCGGUAGGACCCUCCUGUAACUCGUUGGCGGUACCGUCCGGCUUCAAGCGUAGCAAAAUCCUCGCUUUGGAGCUCCGGGCGGCGCCUGCCAGGGAACCUUUGUACCCAUAGUUUGACCUCGGAUCAGGUAGGGAUACCCGCUGAACUUAA